Molecule: long non-coding RNA, 304 nt
Filed under: Vitis vinifera (wine grape)
Lineage: Eukaryota; Viridiplantae; Streptophyta; Magnoliopsida; Vitales; Vitaceae
Description: long non-coding RNA (VVIN_LNC007371)
Source: RNAcentral
CCAACAUAAAAAAAAAUGUUCAUAUAAUUUUAAUAGAACCGUUGAGAGGAACUAUGGACAUUAUAAUUUUAAGCUCCAAUAAUUUUGACAAUUAAUUAACAACUUAAUUAAAAAAUCAAAAUUAUUAAUUCCAAAAUUACUCCACUAAAAAUUUGGAAUUGCACUCUUAAAAUUAUAAAAUUAAAUAUAUUCAAAGGAUUUGAAUUGCCCAUUGAUAUAGUCACUACAUAUGAGUCAAUCCUCCAUAAACGGUUCAUAAUCAAAGCUAGGUUUUUCCGUUAACCUCUUUAAUUAUAUCUUUCUC